CCUACGGGUGGCAGCAGUGGGGAAUAUUGCACAAUGGGGGAAACCCUGAUGCAGCGACGCCGCGUGAGUGAAGAAGUAUUUCGGUAUGUAAAGCUCUAUCAGUAGGGAAGAAGAAAGACGGUACCUGACUAAGAAGCCCCGGCUAACUACGUGCCAGCAGCCGCGGUAAUACGGAGGGGGCAAGCGUUAUCCGGAAUUACUGGGUGUAAAGGGAGCGUAGGCGGCUGUGUAAGUCUGAAGUGAAAGCCCAAGGCUCAACCCUGGGACGGCAGUGGAUACUGUGGAGCUAGAGUGCUGGAGAGGUAAGUGGAAUUCCUGGUGUAGCGGUGAAAUGCGUAGAUAUUAGGAAGAACACCGAUGGCGAAGGCAGCUUACUGGACAGUAACUGACGUUGAGGCUCGAAAGCGUGGGGAGCAAACAGGAUUAGAUACCCGUGUAGUC
RNAcentral lists this ribosomal RNA (441 nucleotides) under uncultured bacterium. RNAcentral describes it as "partial 16S ribosomal RNA". It matches the Rfam family "Bacterial small subunit ribosomal RNA", at positions 338 to 795 of the family's 1533-position model. The record is from RNAcentral.